This 693-nucleotide ribosomal RNA is filed under the name Yersinia intermedia ATCC 29909. RNAcentral describes it as "bacterial LSU rRNA". It matches the Rfam family "Bacterial large subunit ribosomal RNA", at positions 2238 to 2925 of the family's 2925-position model. Lineage: Bacteria; Pseudomonadati; Pseudomonadota; Gammaproteobacteria; Enterobacterales; Yersiniaceae. The record is from RNAcentral.
AUCCGGGGUGAGGACAGUGUCUGGUGGGUAGUUUGACUGGGGCGGUCUCCUCCCAAAGAGUAACGGAGGAGCACGAAGGUUAGCUAAUCACGGUCGGACAUCGUGAGGUUAGUGCAAAGGCAUAAGCUAGCUUGACUGCGAGAGUGACGGCUCGAGCAGGUACGAAAGUAGGUCUUAGUGAUCCGGUGGUUCUGAAUGGAAGGGCCAUCGCUCAACGGAUAAAAGGUACUCCGGGGAUAACAGGCUGAUACCGCCCAAGAGUUCAUAUCGACGGCGGUGUUUGGCACCUCGAUGUCGGCUCAUCACAUCCUGGGGCUGAAGUAGGUCCCAAGGGUAUGGCUGUUCGCCAUUUAAAGUGGUACGCGAGCUGGGUUUAGAACGUCGUGAGACAGUUCGGUCCCUAUCUGCCGUGGGCGUUGGAAGAUUGAGAGGGGCUGCUCCUAGUACGAGAGGACCGGAGUGGACGAAUCACUGGUGUUCGGGUUGUCAUGCCAAUGGCAUUGCCCGGUAGCUAAAUUCGGAAGAGAUAACCGCUGAAAGCAUCUAAGCGGGAAACUUGCCUCGAGAUGAGUCUUCCCUGGGGCUUUAAGCCCCCUGAAGGAACGUUAAAGACUAUGACGUUGAUAGGCUGGGUGUGUAAGUGCAGCGAUGUAUUGAGCUAACCAGUACUAAUGAUCCGUGAGGCUUAACCUU